This is a non-coding RNA of Phrynosoma platyrhinos (Desert horned lizard), 70 nucleotides long. Lineage: Eukaryota; Metazoa; Chordata; Lepidosauria; Squamata; Phrynosomatidae. The record is from the annotation of a GenBank genome assembly.
GCCAGCAUGGUGUAGUGGUUUGAGAGUCAGACUCUGACUCUGGAGAUCAGGGUUCAGUUCUCUGCUUGCC